Molecule: non-coding RNA, 336 nt
Organism: Vicia faba (fava bean)
Lineage: Eukaryota; Viridiplantae; Streptophyta; Magnoliopsida; Fabales; Fabaceae
Source: the annotation of a GenBank genome assembly
AUGUUUGGAAGAAGGAAAGACAAGGUAUUUUUGGGACAACAAGCAUAUUUUGGACAACAAAGGUAUUUUUGGGACAGCAAGCAUAUUUUGGACAACAAAGGUAUUUUUGGGAAAGCAAGCUCUAAACAAGUUUUUGGGACAGCAAAGGUAUUUUUGGGACAGCAAGCUCUAAACAAGUUUUUGGGACAGCAAACAACUCAACUCAAAUUAGAGCAAACAGUAGAUAGAGAAGAGGAAAAGAGUAUACCUAUCGGAGCCUCUCCGACGGGGCUUCUAUCAAAAAUUGGUUAUUUGGAGCAUUUUUUGACCAACAAAAAUGCAAUAAAAUGGGCUUGA